This 373-nucleotide ribosomal RNA is filed under the name uncultured organism. Its description in RNAcentral is "partial 16S ribosomal RNA". It matches the Rfam family "Bacterial small subunit ribosomal RNA", at positions 526 to 896 of the family's 1533-position model. The record is from RNAcentral.
CGGGGGGGGCGAGCGUUGUUCGGAAUCACUGGGCGUAAAGGGCGCGUAGGCGGCCCGCACAAGUCUGCGGUGAAAACCCCCGGCUUAACCGGGGGCCGGCCGUGGAAACUGUCGGGCUGGAGGCCGGGAGAGGGCAGCGGAAUUCCCGGUGUAGCGGUGAAAUGCGUAGAGAUCGGGAGGAACACCGGCGGCGAAGGCGGCUGCCUGGACCGGCCCUGACGCUGAGGCGCGAAAGCUAGGGGAGCAAACAGGAUUAGAUACCCUGGUAGUCCUAGCCCUAAACGAUGGAUACUGGCUGUGGGGGGUAGCCAACCCCCCCGUGGCGAAGCUAACGCAUUAAGUAUCCCGCCUGGGGAGUACGGUCGCAAGUCUG